CGUAGGGCGCAAGCGUUGUCCGGAAUUAUUGGGCGUAAAGAGCUCGUAGGCGGCUUGUCACGUCGGGUGUGAAAGCCCGGGGCUUAACCCCGGGUCUGCAUUCGAUACGGGCUAGCUAGAGUGUGGUAGGGGAGAUCGGAGUUCCUGGUGUAGCGGUGAAAUGCGCAGAUAUCAGGAGGAACACCGGUGGCGAAGGCGGAUCUCUGGGCCAUUACUGACGCUGAGGAGCGAAAGCGUGGGGAGCGAACAGGAUUAGAUACCCUGGUAGUCCACGCCGUAAACGGUGGGAACUAGGUGUUGGCGACAUUCCACGUCGUCGGUGCCGCAGCUAACGCAUUAAGUUCCCCGCCUGGGGAGUACGGCCGCAAGGCUA
RNAcentral lists this ribosomal RNA (373 nucleotides) under uncultured organism. RNAcentral describes it as "bacterial SSU rRNA". It matches the Rfam family "Bacterial small subunit ribosomal RNA", at positions 526 to 896 of the family's 1533-position model. The record is from RNAcentral.